GUCUUUUUGAUUAUAAUUUAAAGUCUAACCUGCUCUAUGAUAAUUAAAUGGCCGCAGUAUAUUGACUGUGCAAAGGUAGCAUAAUAAUUAGUUUUUUAAUUGAAAGCUGGAAUGAAUGGUUGAACAAAAAAUUAACUGUCUCUAAUUAAAUAUUAAAAUUUUAUUUAUAAGUAAAAAAGCUUAUGUAUAAUAAAAAGACGAGAAGACCCUUUAGAAUUUUAUAAAAACGUUAAUUAAGUUAUUUAAGAUAGUUAUAAAUUUAUUUAAUUUUUUUAUUUUGUUGGGGUGGUAUAAAAAUUUAAUAAACUUUUUAUAAUUUAAAACAAUAAUUAUUGAGAUUUUGAUCGUAAAUUACAUUAAAAGAUUAAAUUACCUAAGGGAUAACAGCGUAAUUUUUUUAAAAAGUUCUUAUUGAAAAAAAAGAUUGCGACCUCGAUGUUGGAUUAAAAUUAAUUAUUGGUGAAGAAGCUAAUAAAUUAGGUCUGUUCGACCUUUAAAAUUUUACA
RNAcentral lists this ribosomal RNA (506 nucleotides) under Pseudopsis sulcata. RNAcentral's name for it is "partial 16S ribosomal RNA". The stretch from base 380 to 506 matches the Rfam family "Archaeal large subunit ribosomal RNA", at positions 2542 to 2669 of the family's 2987-position model. Lineage: Eukaryota; Metazoa; Arthropoda; Insecta; Coleoptera; Staphylinidae. The record is from RNAcentral.